AUUGAACGCUGGCGGCAGGCUUAACACAUGCAAGUCGAACGAUGAAGAUAUAGCUUGCUAUAUCGGAUUAGUGGCGGACGGGUGAGUAACACUUAGGAAUCUACCUUUUAGCGGGGGAUAGCUCGGGGAAACUCGAAUUAAUACCGCAUAAUUUCUACGGAAUAAAGAGGGCUUUUAGCUCUCACUAGAAGAUGAGCCUAAGUAAGAUUAGCUAGUUGGUGGGGUAAAAGCCUACCAAGGCGACGAUCUUUAGCUGGUCUGAGAGGAUGAUCAGCCACACUGGGACUGAGACACGGCCCAGACUCCUACGGGAGGCAGCAGUGGGGAAUAUUGGACAAUGGGGGCAACCCUGAUCCAGCCACGCCGCGUGUGUGAAGAAGGCCUUUUGGUUGUAAAGCACUUUAAGCAGUGAAGAAGACCUAUUGGUUAACACCCAAUAGCGAUGACAUUAACUGCAGAAUAAGCACCGGCUAACUCUGUGCCAGCAGCCGCGGUAAUACAGAGGGUGCAAGCGUUAAUCGGAAUUACUGGGCGUAAAGCGAGCGUAGGUGGUUAAAUAAGUCAGAUGUGAAAGCCCUGGGCUCAACCUAGGAACGGCAUCUGAGACUAUUUAACUAGAGUAGGUGAGAGGGAAGUAGAAUUUCAGGUGUAGCGGUGAAAUGCGUAGAGAUCUGAAGGAAUACCGAUGGCGAAGGCAGCUUCCUGGCAUCAUACUGACACUGAGGCUCGGAAGCGUGGGUAGCAAACAGG
This 750-nucleotide ribosomal RNA is filed under the name uncultured bacterium. Its description in RNAcentral is "bacterial SSU rRNA". It matches the Rfam family "Bacterial small subunit ribosomal RNA", at positions 28 to 776 of the family's 1533-position model. The record is from RNAcentral.